UUCUUCCCGCCCUGCACAUGGCCAUGAGGCCAGACCUGUGGCAGCCGUCUUGCGAAAAUGAGGCAGUAAGUGCAGAAUGAAAGCCAACUCGCCCACGAUGGGAGAGCAGAAAGGCAGCAACCGCCCAGAUGAAGAGACCACAGUGUGGCCUCCUUGCAGCUGAGAGCCACCUAUGCAGUGUCAGAUGCUACUGGGUGGGGCUGCCUGCAAAGUUCCAGAAAGGCCAUCACAUGUGCCACUGUCAAUCCUUAAGCCAAUGGCAUGAAGUACAGACGAGAAAACUGAAGACCUGACAGAUUAAGCAACUUUCCCAGGGCCGCAGAGCCACAGAGUGACAGAUGAAGACGUUGGUUGCACAGUCCUGCUCCAGAGCCCACCCCCUGAUCCCUUCUCUGCCACUUCUCCUCAAGCCUAAACCUUCAGAAACGACUGCUGCCUAAUAAUGAAGGAAGCCAGGGUGAAAGA
Long non-coding RNA from Leopardus geoffroyi (Geoffroy's cat), 465 nucleotides. RefSeq lists it as uncharacterized. NCBI's taxonomy places the organism in Eukaryota, Metazoa, Chordata, Mammalia, Carnivora, Felidae. The transcript is spliced from 3 exons. The record is from RefSeq and is a predicted model, not a curated record.